ACGUAGGUGACCAGCGUUGUCCGGAUUUACUGGGCGUAAAGAGCGCGCAGGCGGUCGUUCAAGUCGAGUGUGAAAGCCCCCGGCUCAACUGGGGAGGGUCAUUGGAAACUGGGGGACUUGAGUGCAGAAGAGGAAAGUGGAAUUCCACGUGUAGCGGUGAAAUGCGUAGAGAUGUGGAGGAACACCAGUGGCGAAGGCGACCUUCUGGUCUGUAACUGACGCUGAGGCGCGAAAGCGUUGGGAGCAAACAGGA
This 253-nucleotide ribosomal RNA is filed under the name uncultured prokaryote. RNAcentral describes it as "partial 16S ribosomal RNA". It matches the Rfam family "Bacterial small subunit ribosomal RNA", at positions 525 to 777 of the family's 1533-position model. The record is from RNAcentral.